UUUCCGAAGAGGUAAAACCAGGGUAACCUGGUGACACAAAGCCACGGGUCCUGAAAUCGUCCUAGGUAUUUCAGGAUGGCCGGGUUGGCGAA
Molecule: regulatory RNA element, 92 nt
Organism: Geobacter sulfurreducens PCA
Lineage: Bacteria; Pseudomonadati; Thermodesulfobacteriota; Desulfuromonadia; Geobacterales; Geobacteraceae
Rfam family: c-di-GMP-I riboswitch aptamer
About the family: GEMM was predicted in a large-scale screen for bacterial structured RNA regulatory elements.
Source: Rfam